Molecule: ribosomal RNA, 254 nt
Filed under: uncultured bacterium
Lineage: Bacteria
Description: partial 16S ribosomal RNA
Rfam family: Bacterial small subunit ribosomal RNA
Source: RNAcentral
UACGAAGGGUGCAAGCGUUACUCGGAAUUACUGGGCGUAAAGCGUGCGUAGGUGGUUCGUUAAGUCUGAUGUGAAAGCCCUGGGCUCAACCUGGGAAUGGCAUUGGAAACUGGCGACCUAGAGUGCGGUAGAGGGUAGUGGAAUUCCCGGUGUAGCAGUGAAAUGCGUAGAGAUCGGGAGGAACAUCUGUGGCGAAAAGCGGCUUCCUGGUCCAGCAUCGACGUUCAGGCACGAAAGCGUGGGGAGCAAACAGG